AUUGAACGCUGGCGGCAGGCUUACCACAUGCAAGUCGAGCUAGCGGCGGACUGGUGCGUAAUGUCUGGGAAACUGCCUGCUGGUGGGGGAUAACUACUGCAAACGGUAGCUAAUACCCCAUCCCCUCAGGUGUGCCCAGAUGGGAUUAGCUAGUAGGUGGGGUAAUGGCUCACCUAGGCGACGAUCCCUAGCGGGUCUGCGAGGAUGACCAGCCACACUGGAACUGAGACACGGUCCAGACUCCUACGGGAGGCAGCAGUGGGGAAUAUUGCACAAUGGGCGCAAGCCUGAUGCAGCCAUGCCGCGUGUGUGAAGAAGGCCUUCGGGUUGUAAAGCACUUUCAGCGAGGAGGCGUUACUCGCAGAAGAAGCACCGGCUAACUCCGUGCCAGCAGCCGCGGUAAUUC
This 406-nucleotide ribosomal RNA is filed under the name uncultured bacterium. Its description in RNAcentral is "partial 16S ribosomal RNA". It matches the Rfam family "Bacterial small subunit ribosomal RNA", at positions 30 to 526 of the family's 1533-position model. The record is from RNAcentral.